Long non-coding RNA from Symsagittifera roscoffensis, 804 nucleotides. RefSeq lists it as uncharacterized. Lineage: Eukaryota; Metazoa; Xenacoelomorpha; Acoela; Convolutidae. The transcript has 3 exons. The record is from RefSeq and is a predicted model, not a curated record.
UCUAUUAUAGUGAAUAUUCCUUUGGGACCAACUAGGCCAUCUAGUCCAUCGAAGCUUAAUUGGCUUGAAAAUUUGGCAACACAAAUUAUCCUCACAUCGUAGUCUGGUCAUUGUUUUUUUUUAUCUACUGAUUUCAGAGUUACCAAUCGGAAACUUCAGCUCAAAAAUAAAAGUAAUUGCGGUAACAGCACCUGCGAUAACGGAUUGAUUAAUCGAAUCGUUGGUAAGAUAGCAAUUAACUAUUGACGCCUAAUCACAGUCAGACUUUGUGUCAGCCGUCAUUCAGUCGUCAAUUUCUUGUAAACAGUAUCCAACUAACGGUAAGCUUCCGUUCGCAAAUCUACUAUCAUCACAUUGACCAACCAAAAUUAAGUUAUCUAUAAAAUCAACCAACUCCUCAAAAUGCAGACUAUUAAUAUCACCUCAGCGCUGCUUUAUGCCCUCCUCGUGUUCACCCUUUUGGGCCCUGAUUACCACGGGGCAAAUGCAGGAAGGGUUUACACCAGAAGUUGGAUGGACAACUUCUCCGAUGGCGAGCUGAGUAACUUCAUGCAGUGCAUUAACGACUGCCAGCCAUGGCGAUUCUCCGAUUUCGGAAGCAACAACUAUUACGACAUGAUAAACAUGGGUAGAAUAUGUGGUUGUCUCACUUGGUAAACAAAUUCUUUGAAGAAAAGCGACGGCCAAUCGACUGCAGCGCAACCAAUUAUUCCGAAACCAAACGUGAACAAAAAACCCAUCCAAAGUCUUAUCCUUGUUUUCAAUUGUCAUCACCGUUAUCGUCUCUAACAUAGCAAAUUCAAU